Molecule: long non-coding RNA, 9663 nt
Filed under: Gossypium raimondii (Peruvian cotton)
Lineage: Eukaryota; Viridiplantae; Streptophyta; Magnoliopsida; Malvales; Malvaceae
Description: long non-coding RNA (GRAI_LNC008894)
Source: RNAcentral
GUUUUGGAGAAAUGGCUUUAUAGCCGAAACUAAAAGGUCCUAUCUGUUUCUUUUUUCUUGUUUCUUCUUUGUUGCUUUUUUUGCUCUGUUUGUCCUUGCUGUUUUCUUGUAUUGCAGGUUCGGGCAAAGUCAACUUGCUGCAUUGGUGCAAGGUCGUACCAGAAGAGCAGACCUCGGGCGGUGGGCGUGCUGACAAUGCACAUGGGAGCAACGGCGCGAGGCAAGGGCAGGGAACCCUAGGGUUCCCUGUGCUGUUUAAUUUUUGGGCCCCAAUGGGCCGUUUUAGAUUUUGGGCUUUGGGCUAUUAGGUAUUUGUUUUUGUAAUUGGGCCCCGGGUUAAUAUUUUUGGCACUAGGCCCGGGUAAAAUUGGGUCUGUACAGCUGCCCCUCUUUGCUUGUUAUCGUGUAAUGAGAACAGAGCAAAGACUAAGAAAGACCAAUUUUGCCCGGUCUCGCCGAAUCUUGACCUCUUGGUGCCCUUCUUCUUCAGGUAGUCUCCUUCCAGUCCACUGUGUCUUGUUGCUUCAACCCACUCUACUACACUUUAGAGAGUUUUAACUUGUAGCUUCAAUUUUCUUCGCAACAAUUUCAGGGGGAUGAAGUUUGUGGUUUUAGUCUACUCCGCUGCAACGUCAGGGAGAUAAGACUUGAUGCGAUCUGCUCUACUGCAACUUCAGAGAGAUAAGAUAUGUGGUUUUAAUCCGCUCUACUACAACUUUAGGGAGAUAAGAUUGGUUUCUUCUGUCUGCUUCACUACUACUUAGGGAGAUUAUACUUGAUACGAUCUACUCUACUGCAACUUUAGAGAGAUAAGAUCCUUUAUUUUAAUCCGCUUCACUAUAACUUCAGAGAGAUAGGAUAGUGUCUUCGAUCUGCUCCGCUGUAAUCUCAGGGGGAUAAGAUCUUUGGCUUCAAUCUGUUCCACUGUAACCUCAGGGAGAUAAGAUCUGAAAUUCUUCGGUCUACUCCACUGUAACCUCAGGGAGAUAAGACCUGAUGCGAUCUACUCUACUGUAACUUCAGAGAGAUGAGAUCCUUUAUUUUAAUCCGCUCCACUGUAACUUCAGGGAGAUAGGAUUACUAGCUCCAAUCUGCUCCACUGUAACCUCAGGGAGAUAAAAUCUGAAAUUCUUCGGUCUACUCCACUGUAACCUCAGGGAGAUAAGACUUGCAUAUUCAACCUGCUCCACUGUAACUUCAGGGAGAUAAGGUUUGUGGCUUCGAUCUGCUCCUCUGUAAUCUCAGGGAGAUAAGAUCUGAAAUUUUUCGGUCUACUCCACUGUAACCUCAGGGAGAUAAGACUUGCAUAUUCAACCUGCCCCACUGUAACUUCAGGGAGAUAAGGUUUGAUGCGAUCUACUCCGCUGUAACUUCAGAGAGAUAGGAUCCUUUAUUUUAACCCGCUCCACUAUAACUUCAGGGAGAUAAGAUAGUGUAAUCGAUCUGCUCCGCUGUAAUCUCAGGGAGAUAAGAUCUCUGGCGUCAAUCUGCUCCACUGUAACCUCAGGGAGAUAAGAUCUGAAAUAUUCACUGAUCUGUUCUCUGGGGAACAUGACCUAUAUAAUGAACCUAAUUAUGCCUAAUGAUUAGGAUGACAUAAUCAAAAUGAAUCAAAUGCUCCUAACUAGACAUGUGUGAAUGGUGUUUGCAUGAAUGCAGAAUUUUAUUUUUUGAGACUGAUCCUGCUUAGGUUGUCAUUAUUCAAAGCUUAUUAAGGCUUUGUAACUGACGUGUUACAGCACCUUUUUGCUUGACUGGCUUUUCUAGAGAAACAAUUAGCCAGGUUGCCCCCCACUGUAAACCUCAAAGUUUAAUUCAUUAGGGCGCACAAUUUGUGCCAUCAUUCUCCCACUACAAUCCCAGGGUAGAACUAUGCGGCUUUUAUCUCAAUCCUAUCUUAUCACGAAUCGAGGAUACAUGACUAAAUUGUUCUGGUUUCUUACACCAUUUUCAGGGUGUCAUACCAAAGACUUAUGCGCAGAUGAAGGCUCCCUUCUCCGAGGUAACUUCUUCCUACUGCCUGAUGAUUAUUGCUUGCUUGUUCAUUCCAGCUUUGUCGUUAAGCCGUCAUCUUAUCAUUUUGUUCAAUCAACGCAUUUGACAACGAAAUCUAAAGAGAAAGUCCAAAUUUAGACUAUUCCUUCUCAAAUUUCCAACCUUUACCUGGUGUGUUCUAAACAAUCGUCCUGUUUCAGGUUCCUGUGAUAUUUAGAAACUUUCUAGAGUAAUAUGCAAAACUUCCUUUGUGAAAGUUUUAUUAGUCCAUUAAUCAUUAUUCCAAUGCAACACGCUUGCAAAAAUGGUAAUAACAAUGGAUAAGAAUAAAGUUGGUCUUGAGCAUAGCUCGAAAGAACAAAUUAUCGAAAAUAGUAAAGAAGGACGACAAAUGAAUUAAUUGGGAAGGUAUAUCUUGGAAAGGAAAAAAGUAUUCUAAGAACAACAAAUAGCAAGAUCACCACAUGCCCCAAUAUAAUCAAAAUUCAAAUCGCUCUGAUCGCCUCAUGCCCCAUUCUGAACAAGUAUUUGAGCCGCCCUUUUCGGGUUUUCAACUCAAAUCCCCUUUGGCCUAAGGCGCCCUUUCCGGGUUUUCCCCUUAGCCUCUCCAUUUUUCAUUUUCAUUUUUCAUUCUCAUUUUUCAUUUUUCAUUCUCAUUUUUCAUUUUUUUGACUCAGAGUGCCCUUUGUGGGUUUUCACCUUGGUCCUUUCUUCUUCUUUAAACGAAGUAUUUCUUAACUGGAUCUGAGUUUAUAGUACUAGCAAUCUCACUCAGGAUCAGUUCUCCUCUGAAAAAUGUCUUCUUUACAACGUAGGGACAUUCUCGGUUUGGCAUUCAUUUCUCUCUGGAAUCCUUUUGGAGAGGAAUGAUCUUUUUCGACAUCCAACCCUCUCGUGGAAUUCUCUGAGAUGACACUGUUCAUUACGGGCUCGUAUCAUUUGUUUCUGGUACAUCCGACCCUGAAGAAUAGCUUUUAACCUUUUUCUUAGGUUCAACUGAUCGCAUCGCGAUUGGAUCCAUUCUACUUUAUCCAAUUCUAGCUCAACUAAUACCCGGAGAAAAAGGAUUUUAAUAGGUAAAACUAUCUAAACCCCGCAAACCAAAGAGAAAGGUAUUGCCCCGGUAAAGAUGUUCGACAAGCAAGGAAGGCAAGUAAUUUCUCAUGCCAAUCCUUGUAAGUCUUAGUCAUUUUCCUUCAAUUUUCGAUUUUCAACUCUAGGAAAUUCAAUGACGAAUCGUGGUGUCCACUUCUGAGUUAAUUUGAGACCUCAGCGAUCGUGUUAUUGUUUAAGCUCAAUGCAUUCUCCAAUGCCCUCUUCUCUGAAAUUCUGUAUCGGUAUACGAUGACUUUGGCUCAUGAAGUAGCCUCUUAAAAUGAAGCAAUGCCCAUUAGAAGUCUUCGAUAAUGGUGAUGUCCAUGCCUCAUUGUGUUCGAAAUUUAAGUCGCCCUUUUCGGGUUUUCAACUCAAAACCUCAUUUGGUCACAAAGCGCCCUUUGCGGGUUUUUGCUUUGGCCUCUCCUUUUAUUUUUCUUUUCUUUUUCAUUCUGAUUUUUUUCAUCUAGAUUUCUCUUUUUUCAUUCUUCUUUCUUUUUCUCAUUUUCAUUUUCAUUUUGAUCUUGAUUUUGAUUUUUUUCUUCUUUCUUCUUUUUGUUUUUUAUUUUGAUUUUUGAUUUUUGAUUUUUUAUUUUCAUUUUGACUUUGAUUUUGAUUUUUUCUUUUUCUUCCCUUUUUUGAUCUGAGCCUUUUGGGGCGCAACUACGACAGAAAACUUUGGAUCUUCCUCUUUAAUCAGGAUGGACCCAACAACAACUUGAAGAGGUAGAAAUUCGACUUCAAAUGGGCAAAGCUAUGCUGACUCCACGAGAAAGGCAUUGCCCCAGCAAAGAAUUACAUCGUUCAUAUUGCAAAUUUCUAACAUCGUGCUGUUGUGCAGAUUUCAUUAUUGGCGUUUAACCUGGGGCAUAUCCUGGUAUGAUCAUACGAAGACAUCUUUGAACCCUAGAGGUCACUCAAUAAGGUGUUGCUUCGUCUCUGCGGUCAGGUCAAUUCUAAUCUUUACCACGCUCACAAUUUCUAAUGAUUCUUUGUGAGGUAGGAUCUGUCUAUCCUUUUAUUCAACCAUCCUUAACAAGUCAGGAGAUAAACUACAAUAUUUGUCAUUUUCAAAGGCCUGAGAUCCCUCUGAACACAUGCCUCGCUCAAAAGGAAAAUCUGGGUCUGUAGCAGAGUCAUUCACGUCAUUGAUAUCCAGGGACUCAUAAUAAGUACCAAAGAAUAUACAAAAGAAAGUAUAAAUUUAUGAAUAAUUAUUUACACAAUAUGAUUAUGAAUGAAUGAUGUGGAAGAAAAUCUAAAAGAAUGAAAUAAUCAGAAAUAAUUAUUCAAAAGAAUGAAAGAAUAUUGGCUCAAAAAGGAAUGCAAAUAUGUAUUUUAUUAGAAUAAUGACGUUCAGACAUUAGCCUAUUUCACAAAGGAAUUUCUACCGCUUUAGGUUAAAAACAACAAAAAUGUUCUGAACAUUACUCUAAAUAAGCCCUGAUAACUACAGGGAUUUCUUCCGCAGUCUAAUUAUUCAAAACACUCUCAAGGUUAGAAGGGCGAGCAUCUAAUAAGAUCUCUUCUCCAGUUGUUUCUUCAUAUUCGGCACUGAUGUGAACAUUUCCCAACAUUUCUUCAUUCAUCGCAUUCCCUUCAUUAUCCGUAUGAUUGAGCAGCGGGUUUUCUGUACUGAUUGAAUCAUCAAAUUUGACAAUGCCCAUAUUGAUAAACCUUUCGACCAACUUUUUAAAGGCAGUGCAGUUUUCUAUAGAAUGCCCCGUAAUUCUCGCAUGGUAGUCGCAUUACGCAUUCAUAUCGUACCAUUUGGGAUAAGGAGGUUGUAAAGGGGUCAAGUAACGAGGAGCAACAACAUGCGCAUCGAACAAGCUUUGAUACAGCUCCUUAUAUGACAUCGAAAUUGGUGUGAACUGGAGCUUCUCAGUACCUAGUUUCACUCCAGAUUCUUGCUUUAAAGGGCUCUGAUGGCUGGUGGUAGUCUUUGGCCUGCCCACGGUGAUUGGUUUUGAGUGGCCCUUGUUAUAUCCGCCUACAUUAUCCCUUUUAUUCCCCUUCUUCCUUGGAGACUUUGUAGUAUCUGGGUACUCUACCCUCAUCUGCUUUAUUUCGGCUAGAUUAGCAACAUGAUUAGCUAAAUCGUUCCUCAAAUUAGAUCCUAAGCCUGUCAGGCACUUCACUGGUGUCGAUGUACCAGUCUGAUAAUAUUGGGAUCUGAUAGUAAAGUGUGCCCCUUGUGGGCGCCCAUCUGGCUGGACCUGGACACUUGUCGAAGUACAAUCUAAUGAAUAGACAAGAUCUUCAUUAUUAACCCCAAAGUAAACCACUGAGUAUUUCACUUCUUUUGACUUUCCAGCUAGCAAUCGGUUGAACUGGUUUAUCAUAGUUCUCCGUAAUUCUAGCAUCUGAUUUCCCAUCUCCUGUUGAAAUUCAGUCAAUUGCUCCUGCAUCUGAAUUUGCAUUCGCUCUAAUUUUUCCAACCUUCGUUCCAUUUCUCUAGUUUUUGCUUGGAUAUCGUAAGGGUGUUUGGUUGGUUGGUUUUCCAGGUUAGCUGAAAUAAAUUUACUCGUUUAGACUCUUUCAAUGGAUUUUAAUGAAUGUAAUGCAAAUGCAUGAAAUGAAUGCCUAAAGAGACGCUGAUUCUGAUUCAAUUACAUUUAGAAAACUUUUCUAGAAAGCAAAUUCCUUUACAUAAAGUAGAGGCAUGUACGGCUUCGCCCUUAUAUUUCAAGAGAUAUUAUCGAUCUUUUUCUUCAUCCGCACGUUUGAGGUAAUCUCGCCAAUUUCCAAUAGAUGCCACUGCUAACUCAUUUUCUUGAUCUUGGUCGCGAUCCACCAUCUACCCGUCUUCAUAAGGCUCAUCAGCUUCUAAAAGGGGGUUGGAACGUCGAAGGCUCUUAGAUAAUCACCUGGAAUCCUCAGCCACGAAACAAGGUCACGAACUCUUCGAUCGCCUUCUUGUGUUUCUAAGAAUAUAUUCAGGUAGUCGUAUUGUUUUCCACUUUAUCAAGGAAUUCGUAUUCCAUGACAAGCUUUCUAAGUUAGUAAUCAAACUUGAAUCAAUAUCUCUUUCCUAAUAUGCAAAUGCAAUGCGAUCAAAACACAACAAGAGGGGUUAGUACAAAAUAUAAGCAAUGAAACAAAACUACCUAAUCGGGUAACUACUAGGGAUUUGGAGUGGCUCUACCUAGGGUGGGCUCCUAAGGUUCACUACAUGUGGUAUGGCUCUAGAGAUAAGGUACCUGAACCAGUAGAUUCCUCGAUCCUCACCCAUUAUAGGCUCAUACAGACCGAGUUCGGUUCAGGGGAAUACAUUUCCCUAUGGCUACACGGAGAAGAAAAUCUCACGAAGACAUAGGUACGAAUGUAUCCCGAAAGUGAUCCACUAUCCUGCACGGAGGUGAAAACCUCACGAAGAACUAGUUUCUCACUCCCACCUAAAAAGGAAUAAUCGAGCGACUAUAUAAUGCAAUAUGCAGAAAUAUAUCAAAAUUCAAACCAAUAGAGCAAAUACAAACCGAAGUAAUGAUAAUAGUAACAAAAACGGACAAACAUACAACAAAAUGACCGUAGAUUUAAACCAAGCUUUCAGGUGACCUCUAGGCAUUUGGUGUUGUUCUACCUAGGGUAGGCUCUUAAGGCUCAUUAUAUGCGGUUCGGUUCUAGAGUAAGGGUACCUGAACUAGCAGAUUCCUCGAUCCUCACCUAUUAUAGGCUCAUAUGGACCGAGUUCAUUUCAGGGGAAUACAUUUCCCUAUGGCCAUGCGGAGAUGAAAAUCUCACGAAGACAUAGGUACGGAUGUAUCCCGGAAGCGAUUCACUAUCCCAUGCGGAGGUGAAAACCUCAUGAAGGCGUAGUUUCUCACUCCCACUAAAAAGGGUGUGACCAAUGGUCAUGCAAUGCAAUGUGCAGAAAUAUACAUCUAAAUGCAGUAAUUAUAAACAAAAUGAUAAAGACUGAAAUAAAUACAAAUGAAAUGCAACACAAGGAUCGUGUCAAGUUUUCAAUCUUUGACAAAAAGACAAUGUAAUCAACACAUGGCUCGACUCUCUUAUUUUUUUGUCCCCAGUGGAGUCGCCAAGCUGUUGACACCAUUUUUUGGAUUGAAAACGGGGUCGACUUGGGUUUUAAAAAAAGAAACGGGAGUCGCCACCAAUCUUUUUAAUGAGGUGUGAUUGGAUCUCCUCGAAAAGUGGUUGUUUUUAAUAAAUGGUUUGAUUUUAUUAAAACAACAAGUUUCGUCCACGAAAUUCAGAAAAACAGGUUCGGGAGUCGGUUACACACGAGGAAGGAUUAGCACCCUCGAUACGCCCAAAAUUGGUACCUAGUUGAUUACUUAAUGUCUUAGUGUCGAAAAACUGAAAACUUUAAAGAAAUUUAAAAAUACGAUCCUUGUAUUAAAAUGUUGAAAAUUUUGGAAAAAGGGGGACGUUCCACGUUAAUCGAGAAAGAAAGCAUCAUAUCCAGUAAGUUAGGACACAAUUCUCGAAUUCCCGAUUAUGCGAAUGAAUGUCAAAAUUUACUUAUUUAAAAGAUGUUUAAUUAUCUCGGGUUUAAAAAAGGAGAACAUGCCUAGUAAGUUAGGGCACGAUCUUUUCUUAAUUCACGAGAUUGUUUAAAACUUGAGUUUGAAAAGAUUCGUGUAUUUAGAUUUAUUAUGAAAAUCGAAACCCAAUAAGUUAGGGUACAAUAUUCUCAAAUCUAAACACGAAGUGCCAUUUUUUAAAACAAAUUUUGUUAUAUCGAGUGAAAUAAAAACACGAAGUCGUAGUAAAAAAUGUGAAAGCAAAUUACAUUAUUAUACAUGGCAAAACCAUGAUGAAUACAAAAGUAUAAAAAUAAUACGGGCAAUAAUAAAAUAAAGAAAAAGAACAAUCGAUAACAUGUGAAAUAAUAAACCGUAACAUAUAAAUAAAAUGCACAAAUACGUAUAAAUAUUAUAUAAAUAUAUAUAUAUAUAAAAUAUAUAUAAAAAUGUGCAUGUGAGAUAUAAAAAAAUAAAAAUAAAAUAAGAUAAAUAUAUAUAUAUAGAUAUAAAAGAAGCCAUAUAAAAUAUAUAAAUAUGUAUGCGUAUAUUCGUGAGAAAAAAUGGAAAGUAUAUAUAUAUACAUAUAUAUAGAUAUACAUAUAUAAAAAAGGUAUUUAUGUAAAUAUUAAAUAAGUUAGAAAAAGGAUGCAUAUACAUAUACGUAUAUACAUAUAUAAGCAAAUAUAGAAUAAUAUUAAUAUAAUAAGACACAUACAUUUAAAAUUACAUAAGUAAAUAUAAAUGAAAAUAUAUAAUGAGAAUAACAAUGAUAUAUAAUAAUAAUAAUAAUAAUAAUAAUAAUAAUAAUAAUAAUAAUUGGUAAUAAUAAUAACAACAUCAAAUUUGUUAACUUUAAUAAUAAACUAACCAAAAUAACGAAAAAGGACUAAAUUUGCAUUUUAAAAUAAGAUUUUGGGGCGAAUCAGAAAAUAAAUAAAGUAUAAUGACCGAACUGAGUGCGUGCAUAAAGAAAAGGGACUAAAUGGGGAAUAUUCCCGUCCUCCAGAACGCAGCACUCUACUUGAGGUUAAAAUGAAGUCAAAAUAAAAUUUCAAGGCCAAAAUCAGGAAUGAAAUAAAUUUAAUUGCCAAUCCCUAAAAGCCCAAGGGACUAGAGCUGAAAAUAACCCCAGUAGACCCAAAACACGCGGAUCUGAUAGCGGUCGGGUCGGGUCAUGCAGGUACAGGCCUUGUACGACGUCGUUUUGAGGCCACUGCCAUAGGCUUCAAACGACGCUGUUUCUUAGCAAACAAAAUUACCCUAAUCAGCAGGGUUUUCCCAUUUUUCAAACAAAACUAAAAGGCCAAACCAGCCUUCUCUCCGCCGCAACAGAGCAGCCCCUCUUCAACUUCGAUUCCGACGAAGUGAGCGAGGUCCGGCGACAUGUUUUGAGAAGGUAAGACUCCCCUCUCCUUCCUCUUUUGUUUUAUUUUGCAAAUGUAUGUAAAAAACGAAAAAGAACCGAAGAAAAAAAAAGUAAGUCGGAAACCACCUUAUUUUCUAUUCAAUUUCUCUGUGUUUUUUUUGUAAAAUAUCUCCUCCCUUUUAUUAUUUUUGAUCUAUAAAAUACGUAUAUAAAAUAAAAUAAAAAGCAAAUAACAAAAAAAGACGAAAGAUUCAAACCUAAAAACCUUUCCAGAAUUCGAUCUCUAUUUUUUUAUUUCUUUGUUUCAAACCCUGUUUUUUCGAUACAAAAAUCCCCCCUUACAAUCGUUUUGGAGAAAUGGCUUUAUAGCCGAAACUAAAAGGUCCUAUCUGUUUCUUUUUUCUUGUUUCUUCUUUGUUGCUUUUUUUGCUCUGUUUGUCCUUGCUGUUUUCUUGUGUUGCAGGUUCGGGCAAAGUCAACUUGCUGCAUUGGUGCAAGGUCGUACCAGAAGAGCAGACCUCGGGCGGUGGGCGUGCUGACAAUGCACAUGGGAGCAGCGGCGCGAGGCAAGGGCAGGGAACCCUAGGGUUCCCUGUGCUGUUUAAUUUUUGAGCCCCAAUGGGCCGUUUUAGAUUUUGGGCUUUGGGCUAUUAGGUAUUUGUUUUUGUAAUUGGGCCCCGGGUUAAUAUUUUUGGCACUAGGCCCGGGUAAAAAUGG